Molecule: ribosomal RNA, 500 nt
Filed under: uncultured bacterium
Lineage: Bacteria
Description: partial 16S ribosomal RNA
Rfam family: Bacterial small subunit ribosomal RNA
Source: RNAcentral
AUUGAACGCUGGCGGAAUGCUCUACACAUGCAAGUCGAACGGCAGCACGGACUUCGGUCUGGUGGCGAGUGGCGAACGGGUGAGUAAUGUAUCGGAACGUGCCCAGUCGUGGGGGAUAACGUAGUGAAAAUUACGCCAAUACCGCAUACGAUCUAUGGAUGAAAGCGGGGGAUCGCAAGACCUCGCGCGAUUGGAGCGGCCGAUAUCAGAUUAGGUAGUUGGUGGGGUAAAGGCCCACCAAGCCAACGAUCUGUAGCUGGUCUGAGAGGACGACCAGCCACACUGGAACUGAGACACGGUCCAGACUCCUACGGGAGGCAGCAGUGGGGAAUUUUGGACAAUGGGCGAAAGCCUGAUCCAGCCAUUCCGCGUGCAGGAUGAAGGCCCUCGGGUUGUAAACUGCUUUUGUACAGAACGAAAAGGUUUCUACUAAUACUAGGAGCUCAUGACGGUACUGUAAGAAUAAGCACCGGCUAACUACGUGCCAGCAGCCGCCGUAA